CUGUCCAUCCCAUAAUGUCUGAUCCACCAACAGCUCUGGUUCUACUGAGGUCCGACUCUGUUGAUCAGUAUGCACUGUAUCUUUAUUGAUUGUUGAUCAGUAUGCACUGUAUCUUUAUUGAUUAUUGAUCAGUAUGCACUGUAUCUUUAUUGAUUAUUGAUCAGUAUGCACUGUAUCUUUAUUGAUUAUUGAUCAGUAUGCACUGUAUCUUUAUUGAUUAUUGAUCAGAAUACACUGUAUCUUUAUUGAUUAUUGAUCAGAAUACACUGUAUCUUUAUUGAUUGUUGAUCAGUAUGCACUGUAUCUUUAUUGAUUAUUGAUCAGAAUACACUGUAUCUUUAUUGAUUAUUGAUCAGUAUGCACUGUAUCUUUAUUGAUUAUUGAUCAGUAUACACUGUAUCUUUUAUGGAUGAUAUUGAUCAGAAUACACUGUAUCUUUAUCUUUAUAUUUAUGUUUGACUGAGGUUUGGUGAAUGUUUGACUGAGGUUUGGUGAAUGUUUGACUGAGGUUUGGUGAAUGUUUGACUGAGGUUUGGUGAAUGUUUGACUGAGGUUUGGUGAAUGUUUGACUGAGGUUUGGUGAAUGUUUGACUGAGGUUUGGUGAAUGUUUGACUGAGGUUUGGUGAAUGUUUGACUGAGGUUUGGUGAAUGUUUGACUGAGGUUUGGUGAAUGUUUGACUGAGGUUUGGUGAAUGUUUGACUGAGGUUUGGUGAAUGUUUGACUGAGGUUUUGGUGUGAACAU
Molecule: long non-coding RNA, 744 nt
Organism: Dicentrarchus labrax (European seabass)
Lineage: Eukaryota; Metazoa; Chordata; Actinopteri; Moronidae
Exons: 3
Source: RefSeq, a predicted model, not a curated record